This is a long non-coding RNA of Oncorhynchus keta (chum salmon), 1988 nucleotides long. RefSeq lists it as uncharacterized. The record is from RefSeq and is a predicted model, not a curated record. NCBI's taxonomy places the organism in Eukaryota, Metazoa, Chordata, Actinopteri, Salmoniformes, Salmonidae. The transcript is spliced from 2 exons.
CCCCCUCCUCCUGCACUGCUGACCGGCAGCCAUUUUAAUGACAACCUUUCCUGGUAGAGCAGGGAGAAGUCUCCCUACCAGCGGACAGAUGUGGUUCUAUCUCUGUGGAUGUUUGUGUAAUAUUUGCUGUUAAAAAUGAAGGAUAUUUUGUCAAAGGGAAAAAGACUGGUUGUGUGUUUUUUGUCUCCGGUGUUCAGUGUAUUUGCAGAUGAUAACGUUAAUAUAACAGUAUACAACAGGUUCAUGUUAAUUUCACUAAGCCUGGGUUCCAUCGAAGGGAAGAGUCCCUGUUUGAUUCCACCAUUGUGAUUCUACUGGUCUCUAGUGGUUUCUACUGGUCUCUAGUGGUUUCUACUGGUCUCUAGUGGUUUCUACUGGUCUCUAGUGGUUUCUACUGGUCUCUAUGGGUUUCUACUGGUCUCUAGUGGUUUCUACUGGUCUCUAGUGGUCUCUAGUGGUCUCUAUGGGUUUCUACUGGUCUCUAGUGGUCUCUGCUGGUCUCUACUGGUUUCUACUGGUCUCUAGUGGUCUCUAUGGGUUUCUACUGGUCUCUAGUGGUCUCUGCUGGUCUCUAGUGGUUUCUACUGGUUUCUACUGGUUGCUAGUGGUCUCUAGUGGUCUCUAGUGGUUUCUACUGGUCUCUAGUGGUCUCUACUGGUCUCUACUGGUCUCCAGUGGUCUCUGCUGGUCUCUAGUGGUCUCUACUGGUUUCUACUGGUUUCUACUGGACUCUAGUGGUCUCUACCGGUUUCUACUGUUUUCUAGUGGUUUUUACUGGUCUCUAGUGGUCUCUACUGGAUGUCCACCUGAACAUUUUUCUGACACUGCAGUGUUGCACUUUCUUAUCUACAAAGUAGAUUAUUAUACGUUUUGAUAAUCAAAUUAUUUCUAUAAUAAAAAAAUAAAAAAUAAAAACAUCUGAAUAUCUGUGUGUGCAUUGUAAAGCGUUUGUGGACGGCAAAGCGUUUGUAGACGGUAAAGUUGUGAAGUCUGUUGGCUGUUGCAAAGUAAUGUAUUUUCUGAGAUCAUUGUCUUCAAAGGGGUAUGUAAAAAAAAAAUAUAUAUAUAUAUAUUCACUGCGUUUCAUCUUCUUUCAGGAAAUGCCACUCGUGGCUUCCUGAAUUCUACAAAGCAGCACAUUGUGUGCAGGUCAUAGGUACUCUAGGUUUGAUUGUAAACACACCUGUUGUACCGCGGACAGUCACAAUCCUUUUCUGUUGCUCGUCCCAUCUUUACUGAACUCAAUUGUGGCUAAAUAGUUGUUGUACAGUUUUUAUAAUGCUUGUGUAAACUGUUCUCCAACUAUUGCCUUGCUAGUACAGUUUAUAAUGCUUGUGUAAACUGUUCUCCAACUAUUGCCUUGCUAGUACAGUUUAUAACAUAUAGCUGUCCUGCUCCAGUUAUGUGUAAGUAUACAGUCCCAUUAUUAUGAAGGAAAAUUAAUUGAGGGGCAUAUUGACUUCAUGUGUGUAUGAAUGGAUAUGAUUGAGUUGAUAUAUUAUUGUAAAGUGUUUUUCUGUUGGGAGGCGUACAGUAUACUGUAUUAUAAACUAUUAAUCUCUGGGAGGCGUACAGUAUACUGUAUUAUUAUAAACUAUUAAUGUCUGUUGGGAGGCGUACAGUAUACUGUAUUAUAAACUAUUAAUCUCUGUUGGGAGGCUUACUGUUAAUAUCUACACAGUCCUCAUGUUUUCUACAGUGAGGGGUACACCCCAAAUGGCUCCCUAUUCCCUAUAUAGUGAGCCCAUAGAGCGCUGGUUAGAAGUAGUUCACUCUACAGGGGAUAGGAGGCCAUUUUGAACAGACUCGUUGUUGUUGUCCUGUUGGUUUCCAUGGUUUCACUCUGUACCUCCUUUCUUAUUGCCGGAAACUAAACAGCCGUGGUGACGAUGUCUUGCUGUUGAUCGAUGUACCGUCCGUUAUUUUAUCAUCGUGUAUGUUUGUCCUCGGUCAACUUAAAGCUCAAUAAACUAUGUGAAUAAACUGAA